Molecule: long non-coding RNA, 1269 nt
Organism: Polypterus senegalus (gray bichir)
Lineage: Eukaryota; Metazoa; Chordata; Cladistia; Polypteriformes; Polypteridae
Exons: 2
Source: RefSeq, a predicted model, not a curated record
CGGACGCUGAUUGGACCGCUUUGCAGCUCCUAGUUUUGUUUUGCCAGCUGUAGUUGGCUUUACAAAUAGCAAGAGACCCGAAAGACGCAGAUUGGCUUUUUAAAGACGGUUAAGCAGUUAAAGGAUUAAGAGACAAAAAGAAGAAAAAUAAUGUACCUUCCAUACUUCCGGGUUCCCAAGAUGGCCACCAAACGUCACUUUCACAUCUGGGUCCCUCUGAUGACGUCACUUCCAGCUCCAUCACAAUGAUGCCACUCCCGGCUCCAUCUCAAUGACAUCACAUUCAGUCUCCAGCAGAUGAUGUCACUUCCACCAUUACAUCACUUUUGGCUCCCUCUGAUGACAUCACUUCGUUACUUCCGUCUCCCUGUCACAGCGUUAUCUCCUGCCACAUCAUUUUCACCCACCAUUUUGUUAUUGUAUAUAAAUACCAUCUUUGUCAUUCACAAUCAUUAACUGCUGUAAAAAGUAUUUUGAUCACCUAUUUUUGCCUUUUUUUGCAUUCUUUGUCCAUUGGACAUUAUACGGGGACAGUCCCCAACUCUUUUCCUUUGUGGAAGCUGUCUUAUUUCAUUACAAGUUUAUCUAAUAUACUGAGCAGAGCACUAGCCACACCUUUUACCAGCAGUCUGUUCCUACCUUAUCUUCUCAUUUCAGUUUCUUUUUGCUUUUUAGCACUAAUGAAGCAGCAGUCACUGGAUGGUAGGGAAAUGUGAAACAAAAGACCAUUCUUAAUAGAAGCUUUUUACUUGAAAAAUAUACUGUUUGCCAUUGCGAAAGCUCUUUGUCAAGCACUUUUUUUGCGUUUUCUCUUGAUAUUCUGACUUUUCUUGCCUGUUUUUAUUUUUUCUUUGCUUCAGGUUUCCAGACACUGUCUGGUUUUGCUCAAGUUUAAACUGCUGUUGUUGUUAUUUUUGUAAUUUUUCAGUGUAUACUUCAUUGAUAAUUAAAUGAAUUUAAUGAUUGGCUUCCUCUGUUCCCAUUAAGUGUAGCUUGAUUAAAAUUGCAAGGUGUCAAUUAUGACAGAAGUCGCCAAGGGCAAUUUGAAGGCAAAAGGACUGCAUUCUGUUGCUCUAUGUAAAGGAUGAGGAAUGUUUUUUAGCGAGCAUAAAUGGUUUGUGAAUAUUUCACUUUGGGUUGGGUUGUACUGUAGAGGUAUAAAUGCAUAUAGCUUGACAAAGGAUUAACUUCCUUUUCUCACAAAAAUGUGUAAAUUGUUUUCAUUUUGUCAAUAAACAAGAACCAAGCCAUUUCUUUUUCAGCCAUUUA